Long non-coding RNA from Suricata suricatta (meerkat), 811 nucleotides. RefSeq lists it as uncharacterized. Lineage: Eukaryota; Metazoa; Chordata; Mammalia; Carnivora; Herpestidae. The transcript is spliced from 5 exons. The record is from RefSeq and is a predicted model, not a curated record.
AUGCACCUGAGCUGACCAAGCAUUGUUUUCGUGUUGAGCUCCGAGAUGGUGUUUGUAUGUUAUAAGCACAGAGACCAAUGUUGAUAUGAAGCAUUAUGUUGAGCAAUCUCUCCGUGUGACCCUGAGGUCAGCUAGUAACACAGAGUAGUCUCCGUGGAAAUGCUUCUACAGAUGGACGAAGAGGUGCACUUGGGCUGAUUUCAUAUAUUCAUGGGCACAAGCUCUGUGGUUGACUCUAUAUAGUUGGAGGACGCAGGUAAUAAGAGACACGCUAGACCUGAUUUACGGAUUCCUCCCUGGUCACGAGCUCGGUCUAGGGUUCUGGUUCUGUUACAGGAGCGUCUGGAGACCAGUAAUGGACCCCCUUGAGUUGACGUAAGCCUCUUCCGAGGUCACGUGCUCUCCAGUUGAAUCCAUGUUGUUAAGAACAUCGGAGACCAGGCUGAGUAAUGCAGACUUCGGUGGUUUGUCUAAGGGUACUCACUGUAUUGUUCCAAAUGUUAAAUAAAAUCAAAGAAGGUGAAAUACACCAGUGGUAAAUAUCAGAUUGAUAUGGUACAUUAAGGUGAUGAAUCCAUAAACGUAAAUCUUGAGGUCAGUUUUGAAACGGAGUUAGUCUCUGGGAGAGAUUGUAGAGAUAGAGAUUAAGACUAUUAAGGCAUCUUAUACUUACUUAUUUUUAAUCCUGUGUAUUUGUUAAUUCAGUGAAGCCAUAAUCAAAUGUCUAUUGAAUAACGAGAAGGAGGCCUAAUCAUGAACCAGUGAUGGUGAGUGGUGGUGGAUGAGACAAUAAAAUCUAUGUGUCUGGGUA